GCGAGAAUAGCUCAACUGGUUAGAGUAUUACCUUGCCAAGGUAAGGGUUGCGGGUUCAAAUCCCGUUUUUCGCU
RNAcentral lists this transfer RNA (74 nucleotides) under Candidatus Karelsulcia muelleri. RNAcentral describes it as "tRNA-Gly". It matches the Rfam family "tRNA". From Rfam's summary of the family: Transfer RNA (tRNA) molecules are approximately 80 nucleotides in length. Their secondary structure includes four short double-helical elements and three loops (D, anti-codon, and T loops). Further hydrogen bonds mediate the characteristic L-shaped molecular structure. tRNAs have two regions of fundamental functional importance: the anti-codon, which is responsible for specific mRNA codon recognition, and the 3' end, to which the tRNAs corresponding amino acid is attached (by aminoacyl-tRNA synthetases). tRNAs cope with the degeneracy of the genetic code in two manners: having more than one tRNA (with a specific anti-codon) for a particular amino acid; and 'wobble' base-pairing, i.e. permitting non-standard base-pairing at the 3rd anti-codon position. Lineage: Bacteria; Pseudomonadati; Bacteroidota; Flavobacteriia; Flavobacteriales. The record is from RNAcentral.